GUGUCCAUUGUGGGCUUUGGUGGCUUGGGUAAAACUACACUUGCCAAACAAGUGUAUGAAAAGAUUGGAGGGCAAUUUGACUGCAAGGCAUUUAUUUCAGUCUCACAAAAGCCUGACAUGCCAAGUCUUCUCAAUGGUCUAGGAUUGGACCUUGGACUUGGAAUAGGGGAGGACUCUCGUGCUCGCGAGGUGCCAUACAUCAUACGCCGUCUCAGAGAAUAUCUCACACAUAAGAGGUACCUUAUUGUAGUUGAUGACUUGUGGGAUCCACCUACAUGGGAUAUUCUUCGAUGUGUCUUUGCAGAAGGUGGUAAUGGGAAUACAGUAAUUGUAACCACAAGAGUGGAUGUUGUCGCUUGUAGGGCAUCUCAUGAGCACGAUGGACACAUUUAUAGAAUGAAGCCUCUCAACAAUGAAGACUCAAAAAGGUUAUUCUUUGGUAGAGUGUUCAGAUCGGAAGAUAGUUGUGCACCCCAAUAUGAAGAAGUUUCAACCCAAAUUUUGAAGAAGUGUGGUGGAUUGCCACUUGCAAUUAUAACUAUAUCUAGCUUAUUGGCUAGCCGUCAAGCAAAAUCAAGGAGUGAUUGGGAGAGCAUAAUGAAGUCUCUGGGCACCAAUUUUGCUACAGAUCCUACCCUUGAAGGGAUGAAGAAUAUAUUAAACCUUAGCUACAUGCAUCUACCUCCUCGUCUCCGGGCAUGUUUCCUUUAUCUUGGUUUGUAUCCAGAGGACCGUGAGAUUCGGAGGGAUGAUUUGGCCCGACAGUGGGUGGCCGAAGGCUUUGUCAGUAGUGUUCCCGAGCUAGAUUUGAAAGACGUUGCUAAGAGUUAUUUCAAUGAGCUUAUCAAUAGAAGUCUGAUUCAGCCUGCCGAAACCAUAUAUGGAGAGGUGACCUCUUGCAGAGUACAUGACAUGAUCCUGGAUUUAAUCUUGAGCAAGUGUGCAGAAGAAAAUUUUAUGCAUACAGCACACAGUUAUGGAGAAAUGGAAAAAAUGCAUAGUUGCAAGUACAAAGUCCGCCGAUUAUCUCUGAACUUGAGCGCAGGUGGCGCAACACCAGGGUCGACUCUUGCUACUGGCCUGUCACAAGUCCGAUCAUUUGCACAGUUUGGAGAGUCCAUAUAUGCACCUCCUCUUGAGUCCUUUAAGCAUGUCCGGGUGCUGGUAUUUGAAGUGCCAGGUGAGAGAAGCAAGCUAGGUGCAAUCUGCCACUUGUUUCAGCUGAGGUAUUUGAAGGUUUCAGCAGACAGCGUAGAGCUUCCAGCAGACAUUCGAGGGCUUGUGCACCUGAAGACACUGGAGAUGAACUGCUGGUCUGAACCAAAAAUCAGUUCAGAUAUAGUCCACCUGCCCAAUUUGUUCAAUCUGCGCCUUCCAUACGGCACAGGGCUGCCUGAAGGGAUCCGGAACAUGACAUCAAUCCGCACCCUACGUUGCUCAAGCAUGGAGAAGAGCUUGGUGGAGGAUAUUACAGGUCUGGGCGAGCUGACCAAUCUGAGGAAUCUAUGCCUAUCCGGGGGCUCUUUGACGGUGGAGGGGGUUGAUGCUCUGGUCUCCUCAAUUGGGAAGCUCCGAGACCUUAGGCAACUCUAUCUCGGUUGCCGUCUUAAAGGCUAUAACGACCAGCUGGGCUCGUUACCUGAUCCUCCUUCCCGUCUCGAGGCGCUCAAUCUGGGAAACUGGCUGUUCUAUGUAGUUCCCAAAUGGAUCGGUGGUCUCCGUGAUCUCAGGUGGCUCUCUCUGAACGUUGAUGACUUGUCGAGUCAUGAGCUGCGUAUUCUUGGAGAGCUGCCCUCUCUUGUUCGUGCCUAUCUGUCCGUUUCACGUAUCCCCAAAGACAAGAUCGUGGUCGGCUCAGGGUCAUUCCCGGUUCUGGAGCACAUUUCCCUUGAUUCUGAUGAAGAUGUCGCAGCUUACCUGAGAUUCGAGGCAGGGGCUAUGCGCAGUCUACGAGUACUCGCUAUCCGAUACACAGUGGAGGGCUGGAGCGGCUGUACACCGGACGGCAUGGAGCACCUUCUAUGCCUGGAGCAAGUCAACGUACGUGUCUACGGCACGCCCACCACGGAACAAGUGGCACCCGAUGUCUCCUCCGCGUACAGUAAGGCACUGGAGGUGCACCCGAGACGUCCUACCUUUGCGCUCGAGAGGUAG
RNAcentral lists this ribosomal RNA (2154 nucleotides) under Triticum aestivum (bread wheat). Its description in RNAcentral is "partial small subunit ribosomal RNA". Lineage: Eukaryota; Viridiplantae; Streptophyta; Magnoliopsida; Poales; Poaceae. The record is from RNAcentral.